Molecule: non-coding RNA, 206 nt
Organism: Pelobates cultripes (western spadefoot toad)
Lineage: Eukaryota; Metazoa; Chordata; Amphibia; Anura; Pelobatidae
Source: the annotation of a GenBank genome assembly
UGACCUUGUUGGAGGCAAUGUUUUUUUAAGGCUGAUGAAUCUCUUGAUGUCUAUUAUAUAACGGAAAUAUGCCCCAACAAGAGAUCUGGACAAAUUCAAUCUUUUUUUAAGGACCGAUAUUUGUGGUGUCAUAAGUUCCAUAUUGACUAAGUUGAAGAUUCCCUUUGCUUCCUUCUUUUUUCUUUUUUUUAAUAAUUUUUUAUUUU